Molecule: ribosomal RNA, 292 nt
Filed under: uncultured bacterium
Lineage: Bacteria
Description: partial 16S ribosomal RNA
Rfam family: Bacterial small subunit ribosomal RNA
Source: RNAcentral
GUGACAGCAGCCGCGGUAAUACGUAGGUGGCAAGCGUUAUCCGGAAUUACUGGGCGUAAAGCGCACGCAGGUGGCUUCUUAAGUCUGACGUGAAAGCUCCUGGCUUAACCGGGAGAGGUCGUUGGCGACUGGGAGGCUUGAGGCGAGGAGAGGGGUGUAGAAUUCCCGGUGUAGUGGUGGAAUGCGUAGAGAUCGGGAGGAAUACCGGUGGCGCAAGCGGCACCCUGGCCUUGGCCUGACGCUCAGGUGCGAAAGCGUGGGGAGCGAACGGGAUUAGAAACCCGAGUAGUCC